This 256-nucleotide ribosomal RNA is filed under the name uncultured bacterium. RNAcentral's name for it is "partial 16S ribosomal RNA". It matches the Rfam family "Bacterial small subunit ribosomal RNA", at positions 524 to 776 of the family's 1533-position model. The record is from RNAcentral.
UACGUAGGGGGGCGAGCGUUGUCCGGAAUUAUUGGGCGUAAAGAGCUCGUAGGCGGUUUGUCGCGUCUGCUGUGAAAACCCGAGGCUCAACCUCGGGCCUGCAGUGGGUACGGGCAGACUAGAGUGCGGUAGGGGGAGAUUGGAAUUCCUGGUGUAGCGGUGGAAUGCGCAGAUAUCAGGAGGAACACCAAUGGCGAAGGCAGAUCUCUGGGCCGUAACUGACGCUGAGGAGCGAAAGCAUGGGGGAGCGAACAGG